UACGGUAGGGGGCGAGCGUUGUCCGGAAUGAUUGGGCGUAAAGGGCGCGUAGGCGGCUGAUUAAGUCUGGAGUGGAAGUCCUUAUUUUCAAGGUAGGAAUUGCUUUGGAAACUGGGCAGCUAGAGGGCAGCAGAGGGGCGUGGAAUUCCGGGUGGAGUGGUGAAAUGCGUAGAGAUCCGGAGGAACACCAGAGGCGAAGGCGGCGCCCUGGGCUGCACCUGACGCUGAGCCGCGAAAGCCAAGGUAGCGAACGGGAUUAGAUACCCGGGUAGUCCCUGA
Molecule: ribosomal RNA, 279 nt
Filed under: uncultured prokaryote
Description: partial 16S ribosomal RNA
Rfam family: Bacterial small subunit ribosomal RNA
Source: RNAcentral